UUUUACUUAAAGUACCAGUAUAGUGCCAGGAAAACAUACUCAUUUUCCUGGCACUAUGGUGCCCUGAGGGGACCCCCUCCCGCCAGGCUCUGGGGAGAGGAAGGGGUUAAAAUCUUACCUUUCUCCAGCGCCGGGCUGGAAGCUCUCCUCCUCCUCUCCGCCUCUUCUAGUCCUCUUCGGCUGAAUGCGCAUGCGCGGCAGGAGCUGCGCGUGCAUUCAGCCAGUCUCAUAGGAAAGCAUUCAUAAUGCUUUCCUAUGGACGCUGGCGUCUUCUCACUGUGAUUUUCACAGUGAGAAGCAUGCAAGCGCCUCUAGCGGCUGUCAAGAGACAGCCACUGGAGGCUGGAUUAACCCUAACAAACAUAGCAGUUUCUCUGAAACUGCUAUGUUUAUAGAAAAA
Molecule: long non-coding RNA, 400 nt
Organism: Pelobates fuscus (common spadefoot toad)
Lineage: Eukaryota; Metazoa; Chordata; Amphibia; Anura; Pelobatidae
Exons: 2
Source: RefSeq, a predicted model, not a curated record